CCAAGAGAAAGUGUGGCAUUAGCUUUUCUUAACAAGAGGGAAAAACAUAGGGCUCUGCCCCGUGAUGUACCGUCCCUUUCCACAACGUUGGAGAGAAAGCCGGGCCUUGAGUCAGCACCUGCUUAUUCCUACAACUUCUCAGUCCUGUGGACGAUGACUGAGGAGAUAAACCAUGCAGGAAACAUCU
Small nucleolar RNA from Myotis lucifugus (little brown bat), 187 nucleotides. Its record names the gene SNORA73. It matches the Rfam family "Small nucleolar RNA SNORA73 family". From Rfam's summary of the family: U17 (SNORA73A and SNORA73B) also known as E1 belongs to the H/ACA class of small nucleolar RNAs (snoRNAs). Vertebrate U17 is intron-encoded and ranges in length from 200-230 nucleotides, longer than most snoRNAs. The record is from Ensembl. Lineage: Eukaryota; Metazoa; Chordata; Mammalia; Chiroptera; Vespertilionidae.